Long non-coding RNA from Gasterosteus aculeatus aculeatus (three-spined stickleback), 1453 nucleotides. The record is from Ensembl. NCBI's taxonomy places the organism in Eukaryota, Metazoa, Chordata, Actinopteri, Perciformes, Gasterosteidae.
AUUACGUUUACAGCAGCAUUAUAUGAGCAGCUGAUCAAGUAACUAGUGGAAACGUUUAGUGACAAAUCCACUGAGAAUUGUCAUUGAGCUGUGUAUUGAAAGGGCUUUAAUGAAGCCACUGUACUCUAGUACUCAGACCCAGAGGCUGGCAGGAGAACACAGAGUAGCAGGUAGCAGCUCUCUCGCUGCUCCCAGGCCUGCUGCUAUCAGCUCGGCAUCACAGCUACUCUGCUAAAGGGUCACCGGGUUCAGCUGUUCUAUACUAACUACUAAGGGAAGCUCCCCUCGUCCCUCCCCAACACAAACACUGGUGAGAUGUGACCUAAUGGCCCCGUCAAAGGAUGUUCUGUUUGUAUGGAUAUCGCUUUAAGGGUAAGCCUACAGAUAUCCAGAGAGUUUGGGUGAACCCGAUGUUCCCGGAUGUUUAUAAUUGUGUGCUUCUUAUCACUCAUUCAGAUUAUUUACUGCUGGUUACUCUAAAGUCUAACAUGAACAGCUGGUUUAAACUUAAAAAGAGACUUCCGUGUUGGAGUGAAAUUAAUUAAUAUUAAACCUAUCUAUAAAUGGUUGACCUUUUAUUGGCUUUUGGGGAUUCUUUUUUUUUGCAUAAUGGGCCUUGAAAACCAACUCCACUUGUGUAUUAUGCAUUAUGCUAUGUUAAACACAGGCAAAUCGCAGGAAGCAUGAGCUCAUGUCAGGCCUUUGUUUUUAGUCCAUGACCUUCCACGCAGCCACAUAAACAAUCUGGAUCCACAUGAGUCCAAUGAGCAAUAUACCGAGAUUGUUGUUCAUUGAACUGUAUGUUCAUAAGCUGGCUCUGGAGUUAUGUGAGACAGCGUUGGUUACUGUGAUUCAUUAGCGGGUUGAUGUACUUAAAUUUCUCUUCUCCUCUCAGGGACCCCCUACUCCCCACCCCUUGCCCCAUCCCACACUCAUUUGGAUUUUGAUGCCACAUACAAGGACAAAUAGUCCAAACAGGAGUAGUAUCAACACCAGGACUCUUUAGUGCCAUUCACAGCUGUCAAUCAUGUCUAAGACAAUAUUUUAGAGCAACAUUGAUGGUUCCAUCUGUCUCUGUGUGCUCAGCGACUUUCUCAAGUGAUCAUUUAAACUGGUCAGCCUAACAAAGCUCUGUAGAGGAGAACUGAGCCGCUGGAUCGUGAGCGUGUGCUGCAGGUCAUGAAUGUACAUGAACUGCAGUGAAGCUAUUUAGUCACAUGCUCAUCAGAAUGUUACACCAUAUCCACGCAGAGGCACAUCCAGGGCUACGCACUUUCCGAACCUUUUCUACGGUGCUCGCCUCUUCAUGUGUUGUUGGAGGAAAACAUGAUCCAACAUUAGAUGUGUUUCUGAAGGGAAUUUUAAAACAGAUUUUCAACUAUCCAACUAUUUGUAGUUACUGUGUUUUUUUUCUUCAUUUGUACAUUUUCUUGUAAUUGAGGAAAUUUCUUAG